Long non-coding RNA from Trifolium pratense (red clover), 391 nucleotides. RefSeq lists it as uncharacterized. Lineage: Eukaryota; Viridiplantae; Streptophyta; Magnoliopsida; Fabales; Fabaceae. The record is from RefSeq and is a predicted model, not a curated record. The transcript has 2 exons.
UCUAAGUGGUAAAAACUACCUAAUUUAACAACCAUGAAAUUUGUACCUAUAAAACCAUAAGAAAAUUAUAGUAAUUGCAUGCAAAGGAAAAGAAGUAUGACUCAAAUGAUCAUGUUUCUUGCUUUGGUCAUCUUUCUUUCUCUACCUUUUGUUCUAACCAUUAGAACUAGCAUUCCUUGCGUUUCUGACAUUGAUUGUCCAGUGCCUCCAAACAGCAUACCUCUACUUUUGAAAUGUGUUGAAAAUUAUUGUUCUUUCUCGUUCGUGUAACAAUUAAGUUUAAGAAAAUAAUCAUGUUAACUAUAAGCGUAUAAUUUUUUGUACUUCAUAAUGUUUGUACUUUUAAAAUUUACUUCAAAAUAAUUCGAUGUAUGUUUCUCAUUCCUUUCAA